UACGUAGGGACCAAGCGUUGUUCGGAUUUACUGGGCGUAAAGGGCGCGUAGGCGGCUUAACAAGUCACUUGUGAAAUCUCCGGGCUUAACUCGGAACGGCCAAGUGAAACUGUCAAGCUAGAGUGCAGAAGGGGCAAUCGGAAUUCUUGGUGUAGCGGUGAAAUGCGUAGAUAUCUGGAGGAACACCGGUGGCGAAGGCGGCAUCCUGGACCAAUAUUGACGCUGAGGAGCGAAAGCCAGGGGAGCAAACGGG
Molecule: ribosomal RNA, 253 nt
Filed under: uncultured bacterium
Lineage: Bacteria
Description: partial 16S ribosomal RNA
Rfam family: Bacterial small subunit ribosomal RNA
Source: RNAcentral